RNAcentral lists this transfer RNA (70 nucleotides) under Candidatus Nitrosarchaeum limnium SFB1. RNAcentral describes it as "tRNA-OTHER". The record is from RNAcentral. Lineage: Archaea; Thermoproteati; Nitrososphaerota; Nitrososphaeria; Nitrosopumilales; Nitrosopumilaceae.
UUUUGGCCUGACUGCCAUAACUGCUGUGACAGACAAGGCAGACUACCAUUAACAUCAGAUGAUCUGAUUA